GCUCCAGUGGUGCAAUUGGUCAGCACAUGGUACUUAUAAGACAGUACAGUGUAAAGCAAUGCCAGGGUUGUGAGUUCAAGUCUCACCUGGAGCA
Non-coding RNA from Oryzias latipes (Japanese medaka), 94 nucleotides. NCBI's taxonomy places the organism in Eukaryota, Metazoa, Chordata, Actinopteri, Beloniformes, Adrianichthyidae. The record is from Rfam.